Molecule: ribosomal RNA, 500 nt
Filed under: uncultured bacterium
Lineage: Bacteria
Description: partial 16S ribosomal RNA
Rfam family: Bacterial small subunit ribosomal RNA
Source: RNAcentral
AUUGAACGCUGUCGGCAUGCCUUACACAUGCAAGUCGAACGGUAGCACGGGAGCAAUCCUGGUGGUGAGUGGCGAACGGGUGAGUAAUGUAUCGGAACGUGCCCAGUCGUGGGGGAUAACGUAGCGAAAGCUACGCUAAUACCGCAUACGAUCUCUGGAUGAAAGCGGGGGACCGCAAGGCCUCGCGCGAUUGGAGCGGCCGAUAUCAGAGUAGGUAGUUGGUGGGGUAAAGGCCCACCAAGCCAACGAUCUGUAGCUGGUCUGAGAGGACGACCAGCCACACUGGGACUGAGACACGGCCCAGACUCCUACGGGAGGCAGCAGUGGGGAAUUUUGGACAAUGGGGGCAACCCUGAUCCAGCAAUGCCGCGUGCAGGAAGAAGGCCUUCGGGUUGUAAACUGCUUUUGUACGGAACGAAAAGGCUCUGGUUAAUACCUGGGGCUCAUGACGGUACCGUAAGAAUAAGCACCGGCUAACUACGUGCCAGCCGCCGCCGUAA